UCUCCGUAGGUGAACCUGCGGAGGGAUCAUUACUGAGUGAGGGCUUCGGUCCGACCUCCAACCCUUUGUGAACCAAACUUGUUGCUUCGGGAGCGACCCUGCCGCUUCGGCGGUGCGGCGCCCCCGGAGGCCAUUAAACACUGCAUCAUUGCGUCGGAGUUAAAGUAAAUUAAACAAAACUUUCAACAACGGAUCUUUUGUUUCUGGCAUCGAUAAAGAACGCAGC
Molecule: unclassified non-coding RNA, 226 nt
Filed under: uncultured fungus
Lineage: Eukaryota; Fungi
Description: sequence contains ITS1, 5.8S rRNA gene
Source: RNAcentral